RNAcentral lists this unclassified non-coding RNA (1212 nucleotides) under Bombus terrestris (buff-tailed bumblebee). RNAcentral describes it as "misc RNA ENSBTSG00005038557.1". Lineage: Eukaryota; Metazoa; Arthropoda; Insecta; Hymenoptera; Apidae. The record is from RNAcentral.
ACCAUCGGCCAGAUUCCAUUCCCAUUCCGAUCUCGCCUCUAUUCUCUGCUUUAUCCUUUUGCCGCGCUCUGCGUAGGUACUGCGAACGCACAACAGCUGUAGAAUUUAUAAAAAGAUCUGUUCGACCGACCGAUGAAACCCUUAUCAAGGUCUUUCCACCAUUAUGGAGGUGUUAGUGGAAGGAAGGAAGAACGCGUGUUUCUUUCACCGUUACGGAAAUAUUUACACAACCAUGUGCAAACCAACUUACGCCAGGGUAAAUUAGAUUGCUGUCGGCUUUGUCAUUUCACCAACCGACAAAAGAUCAUUAUCUUUUGAACACGGUCACUAUACAAACCUCUAGAAACGUCCACACCAUUGAGCACAAUUUAGUAUUCAACGACGUAUUACCUUAAAUCAAACAAUCGUGCUCAUUUUCCUGGAAGGAACAACUUCAACUAAUUUUCCAUCACGAUUAAAUCGACAUCUGAAAAUCUAGAUUUGGAAUUUUCGAAUUUACAAAAUCAAACUACAUCCCAUAAAGUAUUCUUUUAUCAGUAUAAAAAUAUUUUUCUGUAUUGUGAUCAUAGAUAUAACAAUUUUUAUAUACUAAACUUUCUAUAUUGAAAGUAAGAGUAACGUGAAUUAACAAUUAUCGAUUUCCAUAGGUAAUGAGCAUCGAUACCUCGAAGAAAGGGCAUUUGUGAUGCAUAUGACAGUCAUAAUAACAGGUUACAACUUGUCUGUACAAGCCGUGAACGAAGGCCUCCCAUUUAAAAUUCGCAGCUGACAGUCAAAAGGCAAUAAGACCAAUUUAGACGUGACUAAAGUCGCAAAAUUUUCCCAAAAAAUUUGGAUAAACGGCGGCGUUAAUUAAGCUAAUACGAAACGUGAUAUGCAACAAUUAUAAUUUAAUGGGUCCAGGUCACGGUGAAGAGCGCACCGUAACAUAACUGUUUAUUAAGUAUCUCGUCGCCCACGUUAAUUGAGAAGUUACUGUCGAAUUGAUAGCUCCGACGUAAAGUAACCUUAAUCGCAGCCGAAGCAUUUUAAUUAGACCUGCUCUCACGAUAAUUAAAUGAAAAAUGUUUGGGAACAUUGCAUGCUACAGCAUAUUAACGCACGUGAUUUUUACUUUUAUGAUACGCGGAAAUCAAUUACAUCCUUUUUUGUCAAUCAAUUUCAUUUAGAAAGGAAGGCAAUACUGAAUUAAUUAUAGUUUAUACUGCAAUG